RNAcentral lists this ribosomal RNA (740 nucleotides) under Roseivivax sp. CR-10. Its description in RNAcentral is "bacterial SSU rRNA". It matches the Rfam family "Bacterial small subunit ribosomal RNA", at positions 56 to 843 of the family's 1533-position model. Lineage: Bacteria; Pseudomonadati; Pseudomonadota; Alphaproteobacteria; Rhodobacterales; Roseobacteraceae. The record is from RNAcentral.
UGCAAGUCGAAGCGAAGCCUUCGGGCUUAGCGGCGGACGGGUGAGUAACGCGUGGGAACGUACCCAUUCCUGCGGAAUAGGCUCUGGAAACGGGGUUUAAUACCGCAUACGCCCUUCGGGGGAAAGAAUUUCGGGGAUGGAUCGGCCCGCGUUGGAUUAGGUAGUUGGUGGGGUAAAAGCCUACCAAGCCGACGAUCCAUAGCUGGUUUUAGAGGAUGAUCAGCCACACUGGGACUGAGACACGGCCCAGACUCCUACGGGAGGCAGCAGUGGGGAAUCUUAGACAAUGGGGGCAACCCUGAUCUAGCCAUGCCGCGUGAGUGAUGAAGGUCUUAGGAUCGUAAAGCUCUUUCGCCGGGGAAGAUAAUGACGGUACCCGGUAAAGAAACCCCGGCUAACUCCGUGCCAGCAGCCGCGGUAAUACGGAGGGGGUUAGCGUUGUUCGGAAUUACUGGGCGUAAAGCGCACGUAGGCGGACUGGAAAGUUGGGGGUGAAAUCCCGGGGCUCAACCUCGGAACUGCCUCCAAAACUAUCAGUCUGGAGUUCGAGAGAGGUGAGUGGAAUUCCGAGUGUAGAGGUGAAAUUCGUAGAUAUUCGGAGGAACACCAGUGGCGAAGGCGGCUCACUGGCUCGAUACUGACGCUGAGGUGCGAAAGUGUGGGGAGCAAACAGGAUUAGAUACCCUGGUAGUCCACACCGUAAACGAUGAAUGCCAGACGUCGGCUCGCAUGCGGGUCGG